AGCUGCCAACAUUGAGAAGAAUGUCAUAGAGGUUGCUGAAAUGGUGUGGACUGCCAUGAUGUGGCCACCACCAUCUUCAUCGCCAAUAAAGAAGAAUUGGAAGCUUUACAAGUUGAGAAUCGACGAAUGAGAAAAUUACAUAAGUAGAGACAAGCUCCUUGAAAGCCUAUCUGAAUUCUUAACCCUCUUCCUUGUUAAGAGAUUGCCUCCCGAUGUAAUUUCAAUUUGAGUCCAUUUUCUAUUUAGUUCAACACAUUUGAUUAUUGGGUUCUAUAUUAUAUAAUUUAUGUUUGAACUUUAGAUUUUGAGGGAACUAAUAUUAAUAUUGUCCAUGAUAUACCUAGUUGGUGGGUUUUGAAUAUAAUCUAUGUUUGAAAAAUUAACAGGUGCUUAAUGGACGUGACAUUUUUAAUAGGUUGAGUACUUGUUUGAAAUGUUUAAAAAUGUUAAGACCAAU
Molecule: long non-coding RNA, 457 nt
Filed under: Malus domestica (apple)
Lineage: Eukaryota; Viridiplantae; Streptophyta; Magnoliopsida; Rosales; Rosaceae
Description: long non-coding RNA (MDOM_LNC001963)
Source: RNAcentral